UACAGAGGUCCCAAGCGUUGUUCGGAUUCACUGGGCGUAAGGGUGCGUAGGCGGUCGGGUAAGUCUGAUGUGAAAUCUCACAGCUUAACUGUGAAACUGCAUUGGAUACUAUCCGGCUCGAGGAAUGGAGGGGAGACUGGAAUACUUGGUGUAGCAGUGAAAUGCGUAGAUAUCAAGUGGAACACCAGUGGCGAAGGCGAGUCUCUGGACAUUUCCUGACGCUGAGGCACGAAAGCCAGGGGAGCAAACGGG
This 252-nucleotide ribosomal RNA is filed under the name uncultured bacterium. RNAcentral describes it as "partial 16S ribosomal RNA". It matches the Rfam family "Bacterial small subunit ribosomal RNA", at positions 524 to 776 of the family's 1533-position model. The record is from RNAcentral.